RNAcentral lists this ribosomal RNA (929 nucleotides) under Microhyla irrawaddy. RNAcentral's name for it is "partial 12S ribosomal RNA". The stretch from base 1 to 820 matches the Rfam family "Bacterial small subunit ribosomal RNA". Lineage: Eukaryota; Metazoa; Chordata; Amphibia; Anura; Microhylidae. The record is from RNAcentral.
UCAUCUACCUCUCAACUUACACAUGCAAGUAUCAGCACACCCGUGAGAACGCCCUUCCACCUUCCUAGAACAAGGAGCCGGUAUCAGGCACAGAUUUCUAGCCCACGACACCUAGCUUUGCCACACCCUCAAGGGUAUUCAGCAGUGAUUAACAUUGUUUAUAAGCGCCAGCUUGACUCAGUUAGAGAGCCUAGAGCCGGCUAAUACGGUGCCAGCCGCCGCGGCUACACCGCUAGGCUCAAGUUGAUAUUACUCGGCGUUAAGCGUGUUUAAAGUGCAUACUAAAUUAGAAUUAAACUAUAACCAAGCUGUGACACGCUUGUUCCUAAGAAAGCCAUAUACGAAAGUUAUUCUAACCUAACCACUUGAACCCACGACAGCUAGGACACAAACUGGGAUUAGGUACCCCACUAUGCCUAGCCGUAAAAUAUUUACUUACACCUUUAACCGCCUGGGAAUUACGAGCCCAAGCUUAAAACCCAAAGGACUUGACGGUGCCCCACCCACCUAGAGGAGCCUGUUCUUUAGUGAGCUAAAAAGAUUUUUACAUAAAUACGUCAGGUCAAGGUGCAGCCCACGAAGUGGUAAGUAAUGGGCUACAAUUUCUACUAUUAGAACACAACGAAAGACUAUAUGCAACUUAGUCAUGAAGGCGGAUUUAGAAGUAAAAAGAAAAUAGAGAGUUCUUUUUAAUUAGGCGCUGGGACGUGUACACACCGCCCGUCACCCUCUUCAAACGCUACAACUUAGUAUUUAACAACUUUAUGCACUACAGAAGAGGUAAGUCGUAACACGGUAAGCGUACUGGAAAGUGCGCUUGGAUAAACAAAAUGUAGCUUAAUCAAAGCAUCUCGCUUACACCGAGAACAUAUCCGUGAAAAUCAGAUCAUUUUGAGCCAAAAACUUAGCUUUCACCCCAUUUAUGUUAA